CUUUACUGUUGCAAAACGAGGGAAAAAAAUGGGGAAGGACGAACCGACUUGGUAAAAGUGAUAAAGGUCUGAAACCACUCAACUGAUUCAGAUCAGUAGAAGACAUCGACUGGAUCGUAUUUGUGUUUACCGAUUUCAAUCAUCAAUCUUCAUUUUCAACGAGAGUAGCACAAGGCUUCCAGAGCUGUGAGCCGUAAUUUAAUGGCAAAAAGGAAUUCGCAAUGCUCAAUCGAGUGCUUCGAAGAACCGCCGAUGAGUGCUUCGAGGAAAGCAGUUCGCCAUGCUGGGCGUACUAUUACGGAUGCGAAAGACUGCUGAAUUUUGGACCUCAGGGCAUUAUCGUGGGCGAGGACGGCAGCAAGACUGUGGUGAAGGUACCCCAAUCAUCAUCGACAAUCUCGACCAUCUUUCAGGUUGACUUUAAUGAGCGUCGAUGGCCACCGCUGAAUUAUGAGACGAGCGACGAAGAGGAGCUCUCGGCAACAUUUGACUCUCUCGGGCAGGAUGAAUUGGACGUCCAUCAAUUCGAGGCCAUGGCUGGAGCCAGUGCGACCGACGAGAGUUGCCGUUACUCAACGCAGAGUUUCCAAGAUUAUUCUUUCAGGGCUGCUGCUGCUGCCGUCGUUCCAGCGACGUGCUCCCGACAGCGGCCAACCAUCGUGAGGUCAAACACCCCGCCCCCUCUCGGGAAAACCAUUACACCAUUGCGAGGGAACCUUUCGGUCGUGCUCAGCGCUAUCUACUGCAUCUUCUUGGUCACAGUGGGCGUGGUGAUUGGUGUGGCCGAUUUGAUUUUGCCCGACAAAAACAUCGGAGAAAUCUUUAGCAUUUAUCUGCUCAUUCCUGGACUGGUUUGGUAUGUCGUUCUCCAUAUCGAUUUGCGGCGACACACGAACGCUGUCAACGACCAUCAACAACCCGCAUCGUGGACCGAGCCGGAUUACAUGAGUUGCCAUUCUUUGGAUAGCGAAAAAUUCUCUACGACUUCAGCUGUCAACGGCUACACAUUUCGUCGCGGCCGUCACUCGGGCAGCUUCUUUUUGAAAAUAGGAGCUGCAGGAUUUUGUUUCGGACAUUUAAUACACAGCUGCCUGAUGCUCGCCCGGCAAAUACUUCACUUCACCAGCCAAGAUCCCACGAUACAACGCGACUGUGCCGACACGACCGCACUGAUCCUUUAUCUGCUGCUGCCCGUUUACUCAUUUUACCAGCUCUUCAUUCUCUUCAAAUACUCAAACGUGAUGAUUAAUCGAUGGAACGACUUGGCCAGUUUCGCCCUCAUGCACUCGAUGGCUACCAGUCUCUUCUUUUGGUUCUGGAGUGUUCGCAACGAAACGGUCGACAGUCUACACCACCGGCGACUCCUAAAAGAUCAUCAACAGAAACCCGAAAGUGACACCGCCAUUACGACGAUGUCCUACCUAAUGAAUCUGACUGGAGAAGAGUACACCAACAGCAACUCAAACCUGAUGGGGAUGCUGUGGAAUGGCACCGUCCUGAGCGCAAUGCGCUGCGCCGAAGGCAGUGACUUCUCCGCUCUCAUUCUCUCCUUCUCGCCGUAUCUUUAUCCAUUUAGCAUCGAGUACAGCAUUUUAGUAGCUGGAAUUUGGUUCAUAAUGUGGCAAAAUGUUGGCAAAGUGGACGAUACUUACAGAUCGGGCGACGGUAGCAGGUCGACCUCUCCGAGUCGUAACAACCAUUACGACCAUCAACUGCUACUACGUAAUCAUCUGGUUAUUCACGCUGAUUGCUCUUCGGCCAACCGAGGCUUGUUUGCUGGACUGGUGGUCAUGGUCGCCACCGCCGUCAGCAUUAUCGUUUUCUUCCUAGCCUUUAGCGAUCGCCGUUACGUGCCCACCGGCAUAUGGAUCGGUCUUGUCUCAGAGUCAACGCUGCUUAUUCUAAUGAUUUGCGCCGCUGGCUUGGCGUGCCGCCAACUCGCCGUAUUGGACAUCAACGCCAAUCCUGUCUCCCAGCUCGACGACUUGCUCCUCUUCAUUUGCAUUCCUUCCUUCUUCCUUUAUGGCAUUUUCAGUAUCGUCCCCGCUAUGGCCUAUUCCACUACAUGGCACUUUUCGUCGCCAUCCUCUAGGUGAUUCAAGUCAUCCUGCAAACGCCCACAAUCAUCGACGGCCUGCGCCGCUGCAGCCGCAGUGUCGAAAUGCAGGCGUCUAGACCGGGACGAGAAGUCAUCACCUUCCUCAUCGUUUGCAAUUUGUCCAUGUGGUUUAUGGAAACGCUGGAAAUCAAAUCCUACGAGACCAAUAUGGACCGCAUCCAUUUUUACGGGCACCCACUUUACUUUGGACGCUGCUCAGUCACGUCACUCUGCCAUUGACACUGUUUUAUCGCUUUCACUCGGCUUCGUGCCUGGUCGACAUCUGGAAAUCUGCCUACGAAGCACCAGAACAGUGAGAAGGACUUGGGGUCCUACUAUACGUGAAACAAAUUUCAAGUGUAAUUCUGUUUCGCUCGCGAUUUUUAGCGAUGAUGAGGCGGUCCCUCAACUAGGCCCUCCCGUGUACACAAUACCCACCGUUCUCCAUACAGUAUUGUAUUUUUUGAAAAAAAAUGUAAAGGAGAGAUGUAUGGAAAAAGGAAUGAUGGAUAUGAGCCAGCAGAAAUAUAUCGGCGCGUCAUGGUACUCGUUCCAAAUGCUUCCAACGUACAAAACACACACACAAAUAAAAA
This 2691-nucleotide unclassified non-coding RNA is filed under the name Daphnia pulex (common water flea). RNAcentral's name for it is "proton channel OtopLc-like, transcript variant X1". Lineage: Eukaryota; Metazoa; Arthropoda; Branchiopoda; Diplostraca; Daphniidae. The record is from RNAcentral.